AGCAGCCGCCGCGGGAAUACAGAGGGUGCGAGCGUUAAUCGGAUUUACUGGGCGUAAAGCGUGCGUAGGCGGCUUCUUAAGUCGGAUGUGAAAUCCCUGAGCUUAACUUAGGAAUUGCAUUCGAUACUGGGAAGCUAGAGUAUGGGAGAGGAUGGUAGAAUUCCAGGUGUAGCGGUGAAAUGCGUAGAGAUCUGGAGGAAUACCGAUGGCGAAGGCAGCCAUCUGGCCUAAUACUGACGCUGAGGUACGAAAGCAUGAGAGCAAACAGGAUUAGAGACCCGUGUAGUCCCUGUCUCUUAUACA
RNAcentral lists this ribosomal RNA (303 nucleotides) under uncultured bacterium. RNAcentral describes it as "partial 16S ribosomal RNA". It matches the Rfam family "Bacterial small subunit ribosomal RNA", at positions 507 to 808 of the family's 1533-position model. The record is from RNAcentral.